Saimiri boliviensis boliviensis (Bolivian squirrel monkey) is the source of this 107-nucleotide small nuclear RNA. The record is from RefSeq and is a predicted model, not a curated record. Lineage: Eukaryota; Metazoa; Chordata; Mammalia; Primates; Cebidae.
GUGCUCGCUUUGGCAGCACUUAAACUAAAAUUUGAAUGAUACAGAGAAGAUUACCAUGGCUCCCAUGCAAGCAUGACUUGCUAAUUUGUGAAGUGUUCCAUAUUUUG